GAGGGUACAGCUCAGUGGUAGAGCGUGUGCUUAGCAUGCAUGAGGUCCUGGAUUCAAUUUCCAGUACCGCUG
This 72-nucleotide transfer RNA is filed under the name Camelus bactrianus (Bactrian camel). It matches the Rfam family "tRNA". Rfam says of the family: Transfer RNA (tRNA) molecules are approximately 80 nucleotides in length. Their secondary structure includes four short double-helical elements and three loops (D, anti-codon, and T loops). Further hydrogen bonds mediate the characteristic L-shaped molecular structure. tRNAs have two regions of fundamental functional importance: the anti-codon, which is responsible for specific mRNA codon recognition, and the 3' end, to which the tRNAs corresponding amino acid is attached (by aminoacyl-tRNA synthetases). tRNAs cope with the degeneracy of the genetic code in two manners: having more than one tRNA (with a specific anti-codon) for a particular amino acid; and 'wobble' base-pairing, i.e. permitting non-standard base-pairing at the 3rd anti-codon position. The record is from Rfam by way of RNAcentral. Lineage: Eukaryota; Metazoa; Chordata; Mammalia; Artiodactyla; Camelidae. RNAcentral also lists the same sequence under 1 other name.